AAACAUGUUACUAAACCAAUUAAGAAGAAGUAAAUAAUUUUCUGCACUCACAGGGCUUUAAAUAUGCGAAAGCAUUUAUACCUUGUGAACAUUAUAAGUGGUUUCCUGUACUUUAGUUGAAAAGUCUGUUGGGAUUUGAGGAGCAAUGAACCUGCACAAGACCAACUCAGAAAAAGAAACAAAAAGAAAACCAGCACAUAAAGGGUUCACUCAAAACAUGUUACUGCAGAAUUUUUAUCUGUCUAAUCCAUAAAAAAAUUGGUAUUUUGCAGCUGUACCAUGAAUGUUCUCCUUUGAAGCUAUCAGCUAUUGCCGUGAGUUUGUUGGGAAUGACAAUGGUUUUGUCAGAAAGCUUAUCACUUCCAUUGGAGUCUCGUUGUAGUUGAAGGGAGUUCAUGGUAAUAGAGUUCAUUCGAAGCCUGCAUUUGAAUGGAACUGCUCUUGGUUCUUUUGUGCGGCCUGCUGUUCUAAUAACUGAUGCUUACAAUGCUUUGAACAAUCAGCCUUACAGAUGGCAAAAGGACAAAGAAUUUGGAGGUCACUGCAUUAAAGUCACAAUUGGAUAAACAAAAUAAACGAAAUGAAGAACGUGACAAAAGACUUGAUGCAAUCAUGAACUUUUUUUCUCAAAAUUAUCAAG
This is a long non-coding RNA of Vigna unguiculata (cowpea), 640 nucleotides long. Lineage: Eukaryota; Viridiplantae; Streptophyta; Magnoliopsida; Fabales; Fabaceae. The record is from RefSeq and is a predicted model, not a curated record.